CGUCGAGCAGCUUCUGUAUCUCGCACAUGAUUGUAGCGAUGAUUUAGAGACCAUAAUCUGAUACCCAAGGCUCUAUGAUGGUGCAUGAGGGCCAACAUUAACGACAUCAUAUUGAUAAAUAAGACUCAACACGGGAUUGAAAUGCAACGUGUACACCAAACAUUGGUCAUCGCAGUUGGCAGACUGAACACUGAUCACCACAAACUGAACACUGGACAAUGGACAAUGGACAAUGGACAAUGGCAUUGCAGAGUGAACACCGAAGGACGCCGAAAGACAUUCACGAUAAUGGAAUCAAAACGAAACCAACUCGGAAAUGUAUUUGGACAAUUUAUUGACACUGAUUAUGAUUU
Drosophila subobscura is the source of this 353-nucleotide long non-coding RNA. RefSeq lists it as uncharacterized. The transcript has 3 exons. Lineage: Eukaryota; Metazoa; Arthropoda; Insecta; Diptera; Drosophilidae. The record is from RefSeq and is a predicted model, not a curated record.